GACGAACGCUGGCGGCGUGCUUAACACAUGCAAGUCGAACGGAAAGGCCUCUUUCGGGGGUACUCGAGUGGCGAACGGGUGAGUAACACGUGAGUAACCUGCCCUUGACUUUGGGAUAACUUCAGGAAACUGGGGCUAAUACCGGAUAGGAGCUCCUGCUGCAUGGUGGGGGUUGGAAAGUUUCGGCGGUUGGGGAUGGACUCGCGGCUUAUCAGCUUGUUGGUGGGGUAGUGGCUUACCAAGGCUUUGACGGGUAGCCGGCCUGAGAGGGUGACCGGCCACAUUGGGACUGAGAUACGGCCCAGACUCCUACGGGAGGCAGCAGUGGGGAAUAUUGCACAAUGGGUGGAAGCCUGAUGCAGCAACGCCGUGUGCGGGAUGACGGCCUUCGGGUUGGAAACCGCUUUCGCUCAUGACGAAGCUUUGUGUGACGGUAGUGGGUAAAGAAGCACCGGCUAACUACGUG
Molecule: ribosomal RNA, 466 nt
Filed under: uncultured bacterium
Lineage: Bacteria
Description: partial 16S ribosomal RNA
Rfam family: Bacterial small subunit ribosomal RNA
Source: RNAcentral